This 323-nucleotide ribosomal RNA is filed under the name bacterium xpnta381lb741offp11.19. RNAcentral describes it as "bacterial SSU rRNA". It matches the Rfam family "Bacterial small subunit ribosomal RNA", at positions 51 to 374 of the family's 1533-position model. The record is from RNAcentral.
ACACAUGCAGUCGAACGGUGAAGCCCAGCUUGCUGNNGGGUCAGUGGCGAACGGGUGAGUANACACGUGAGAAACCUGCCCCUGACUCUGGGAUAAGCCUUGGAAACGAGGUCUAAUACCGGAUAUGUGACGUUCAGGCAUCUGAUGCGUCUGGAAAGAUUUAUCGGUCAGGGAUGGACUCGCGGCCUAUCAGCUUGUUGGUGGGGUAACGGCCUACCAAGGCGACGACGGGUAGCCGGCCUGAGAGGGCGACCGGCCACACUGGGACUGAGACACGGCCCAGACUCCUACGGGAGGCAGCAGUGGGGAAUAUUGCACAAUGG